This 148-nucleotide small RNA is filed under the name Macaca mulatta (Rhesus monkey). RNAcentral's name for it is "Metazoan signal recognition particle RNA (ENSMMUG00000062700.1)". It matches the Rfam family "Metazoan signal recognition particle RNA". From Rfam's summary of the family: The signal recognition particle (SRP) is a universally conserved ribonucleoprotein. The record is from Rfam by way of RNAcentral. Lineage: Eukaryota; Metazoa; Chordata; Mammalia; Primates; Cercopithecidae.
GCUAGGCAUGGUGGUGCAUGCCUGUAAUCCCAGCUACUUGGGAGGCUGAGGCAGAAGAAUUGCUUGAACCCGGGAAGCAGAGGUUGCAGUGAGCCGAGAUUGCGCCACUGCACUCCAGCCUGGGUGACAGAGUGAGACUCUGCCUCAA